Molecule: ribosomal RNA, 843 nt
Filed under: uncultured bacterium
Lineage: Bacteria
Description: bacterial SSU rRNA
Rfam family: Bacterial small subunit ribosomal RNA
Source: RNAcentral
CAUAUGGAUUCCUACGGGAGGCAGCAGUGGGGAAUUUUGGACAAUGGACGAAAGUCUGAUCCAGCGACGCCGCGUGAAGGACGAAGGUUUUCGGAUCGUAAACUUCUUUUGCAGGGGACGAACAUCCGCAAGGAUUUGACGGUACUCUGCGAAUAAGCCACGGCUAACUACGUGCCAGCAGCCGCGGUAAUACGUAGGUGGCGAGCGUUACUCGGAAUUACUAGGCGUAAAGCGCGUGUAGGCGGGAGCUUAAGUUCGCUGUUAAAUCUCAUAGCUUAACUAUGAAAUGCCGGCGAAUACUGGGCUUCUUGAAUUCGGUAGAGGUAACUGGAAUUCCAGGUGUAGCGGUGAAAUGCGUAGAUAUCUGGAAGAACGCCAAAGGCGAAGGCAGGUUACUGGGCCGCAAUUGACGCUGAGACGCGAAAGCUAGGGGAGCAAACAGGAUUAGAUACCCUGGUAGUCCUAGCUGUAAACGAUGUAGACCAGGUGUGGGAGGUAUCGACCCCUUCCGUGCCGACGCUAACGCAUUAAGUCUACCGCCUGGGGAGUACGGCCGCAAGGUUAAAACUCAAAGGAAUUGACGGGGGCCCGCACAAGCGGUGGAUCAUGUGGUUUAAUUCGACGCUACGCGAAGAACCUUACCUGGGCUCGAACGACUAGUAGUAGCUCUUAUGAAAGUGAGAGCGAUUCGCAAGAAAGCUAGCCGAGGUGCUGCAUGGCUGUCGUCAGCUCGUGUCGUGAGAUGUUGGGUUAAGUCCCGCAACGAGCGCAACCCUUGUCCUGUGUUGCCAUCAUUCAGUUGGGCACUCUCAGGGGACCGCCAGCGAUAAGUUGGAGGAAGAU